This 253-nucleotide ribosomal RNA is filed under the name uncultured bacterium. Its description in RNAcentral is "partial 16S ribosomal RNA". It matches the Rfam family "Bacterial small subunit ribosomal RNA", at positions 524 to 776 of the family's 1533-position model. The record is from RNAcentral.
UACGGAGGGGGCUAGCGUUGUUCGGAAUUACUGGGCGUAAAGCGCGCGUAGGCGGACCUGCAAGUCGGGGGUGAAAGCCCGAGGCUCAACCUCGGAACUGCCUUCGAUACUGGGGGUCUCGAGUCCGGGAGAGGUGAGUGGAAUUCCUAGUGUAGAGGUGAAAUUCGUAGAUAUUAGGAAGAACACCAGUGGCGAAGGCGGCUCACUGGCCCGGUACUGACGCUGAGGCGCGAAAGCGUGGGGAGCAAACAGG